Molecule: long non-coding RNA, 200 nt
Filed under: Capsicum annuum
Lineage: Eukaryota; Viridiplantae; Streptophyta; Magnoliopsida; Solanales; Solanaceae
Description: long non-coding RNA (CANN_LNC010867)
Source: RNAcentral
AUAUAUAUAGGAUUUCGGGGUGGGGUAGGGGACAUGUUACAUGACCAUUUGAAAAUUUAAUCCUGAACUGUGUAGCUCGCACCGACCUAAAGAUAUCCAAGGGUUAUAUGGAUCCGACUCCCCCUGCCGAAAGAGCACCAGUCCAUGUGAGCCACAUGCACCAAGAAAUAGGCUAAAACCACCAAUAGUCAAUUAUCCCC